RNAcentral lists this ribosomal RNA (2909 nucleotides) under Pseudoalteromonas maricaloris. RNAcentral's name for it is "23S ribosomal RNA". It matches the Rfam family "Bacterial large subunit ribosomal RNA". Lineage: Bacteria; Pseudomonadati; Pseudomonadota; Gammaproteobacteria; Alteromonadales; Pseudoalteromonadaceae. The record is from RNAcentral.
GUUGUAUGGUUAAGUGACUAAGCGUACACGGUGGAUGCCUUGGCAGUUGGAGGCGAUGAAGGACGUACUAACUUGCGAUAAGCCUAGUCAAGCCAGUAAGAGGCGCUUGAGACUAGGAUUUCCGAAUGGGGAAACCCACCUGCUUGCAGGUAUCGUUAACUGAAUACAUAGGUUAACGAGGCGAACGCGGAGAACUGAAACAUCUAAGUACCCGUAGGAAAAGAAAUCAACCGAGAUUCCGAAAGUAGCGGCGAGCGAAAUCGGACCAGCCCUUAAGCUUUAGUGUAGUUAGUGGAACAUGUUGGAAAGCAUGACGAAACAGGGUGAUAGUCCCGUACACAAAAACUUAUCUAAAGUGAAAUCGAGUAGGUCGGAGCACGUGAAACUUUGACUGAAUAUGGGGGGACCAUCCUCCAAGGCUAAAUACUCCCAACUGACCGAUAGUGAACCAGUACCGUGAGGGAAAGGCGAAAAGAACCCCUGUGAGGGGAGUGAAAUAGAACCUGAAACCGUGUACGUACAAGCAGUAGGAGCCUACUUGUUGGGUGACUGCGUACCUUUUGUAUAAUGGGUCAGCGACUUAUAUUCUGUAGCGAGGUUAACCAUUUAGGGGAGCCGUAGCGAAAGCGAGUCUUAACUGGGCGCUUAAGUUGCAGGGUAUAGACCCGAAACCCGGUGAUCUAGCCAUGGGCAGGUUGAAGGUUGAGUAACAUCAACUGGAGGACCGAACCCACUAACGUUGAAAAGUUAGGGGAUGACCUGUGGCUAGGAGUGAAAGGCUAAUCAAACCGGGAGAUAGCUGGUUCUCCCCGAAAUCUAUUUAGGUAGAGCCUCGGACGAAUACUUACGGGGGUAGAGCACUGUUAAGGCUAGGGGGUCAUCCCGACUUACCAACCCUUUGCAAACUCCGAAUACCGUAAAGUAAUAUCCGGGAGACACACGGCGGGUGCUAACGUCCGUCGUGGAGAGGGAAACAACCCAGACCGUCAGCUAAGGUCCCAAAGUGUAUGUUAAGUGGGAAACGAUGUGGGAAGGCUAAAACAGCUAGGAGGUUGGCUUAGAAGCAGCCACCCUUUAAAGAAAGCGUAAUAGCUCACUAGUCGAGUCGGCCUGCGCGGAAGAUGUAACGGGGCUAAACAUACCACCGAAGCUACGGCUGCAGACUUUGUCUGCGGGGUAGGGGAGCGUUCUGUAAGUGGCUGAAGGUGUGCCGGGAGGCAUGCUGGACAUAUCAGAAGUGCGAAUGCUGACAUGAGUAACGACAAGAGGAGUGAAAAACUCCUCCGCCGGAAGACCAAGGGUUCCUAUCCCAUGUUAAUCAGGGUAGGGUGAGUCGACCCCUAAGGCGAGGCUGAAGAGCGUAGUCGAUGGGAAACGGGUUAAUAUUCCCGUACUCGGUAUGAAUGCGAUGGGGGGACGGAGCAGGCUAGGCAAGCAUGGCGUUGGUUGUCCAUGUGAAAGGCUGUAGGCUGGUGACUUAGGAAAAUCCGAGUUGCCAAGGCUGAGAGUCGAGACGAGCCACUAAGGUGGUGAAGUUGUUGAUGCCCUACUUCCAGGAAAAGCCUCUAAGCUUCAGUUCAUACUGAAUCGUACCCUAAACCGACACAGGUGGUCAGGUAGAGAAUACUAAGGCGCUUGAGAGAACUCGGGUGAAGGAACUAGGCAAAAUUGUACCGUAACUUCGGGAGAAGGUACGCUCUUGUUUGUGAAAGACUUGCUCUGUAAGCAAACGAGAGCCGCAGUGACCAGGUGGCUGGGACUGUUUAUUAAAAACACAGCACUGUGCAAAAUCGUAAGAUGACGUAUACGGUGUGACACCUGCCCGGUGCCGGAAGGUUAAUUGAUGGGGUUAGCUUAGGCGAAGCUCUUGAUCGAAGCCCCGGUAAACGGCGGCCGUAACUAUAACGGUCCUAAGGUAGCGAAAUUCCUUGUCGGGUAAGUUCCGACCUGCACGAAUGGUGUAACCAUGGCCACGCUGUCUCCACCCGAGACUCAGUGAAAUUGAAAUCGCAGUGAAGAUGCUGUGUACCCGCGGCUAGACGGAAAGACCCCGUGAACCUUUACUACAGCUUGGCACUGAACAUUGACCCUACAUGUGUAGGAUAGGUGGGAGGCUUUGAAGCAGAGACGCUAGUUUCUGUGGAGCCGACCUUGAAAUACCACCCUUGUAGUGUUGAUGUUCUAACUUAGGCCCCUGAAUCGGGGUUGAGGACAGUGCCUGGUGGGUAGUUUGACUGGGGCGGUCUCCUCCCAAAGAGUAACGGAGGAGCACGAAGGUUUGCUAAGUACGGUCGGACAUCGUACGGUUAGUGUAAUGGUAGAAGCAAGCUUAACUGCGAGACAGACACGUCGAGCAGGUACGAAAGUAGGUCAUAGUGAUCCGGUGGUUCUGAAUGGAAGGGCCAUCGCUCAACGGAUAAAAGGUACUCCGGGGAUAACAGGCUGAUACCGCCCAAGAGUUCAUAUCGACGGCGGUGUUUGGCACCUCGAUGUCGGCUCAUCACAUCCUGGGGCUGAAGUCGGUCCCAAGGGUAUGGCUGUUCGCCAUUUAAAGUGGUACGCGAGCUGGGUUUAGAACGUCGUGAGACAGUUCGGUCCCUAUCUGCCGUGGGCGUUUGAGAAUUGAGAGGGGCUGCUCCUAGUACGAGAGGACCGGAGUGGACGAACCGCUGGUGUUCGGGUUGUGAUGCCAAUUGCAUUGCCCGGUAGCUACGUUCGGAACUGAUAACCGCUGAAAGCAUCUAAGCGGGAAGCAGGCCUCGAGAUGAGUUCUCACUUUGACUUAGAGUCAACUGAAGGGCCGUUGAAGACUACAACGUUGAUAGGCGAGAUGUGGAAGUGCUGUGAGGCAUUAAGCUAACUCGUACUAAUUACCCGUGAGGCUUAACCAUACAACGCCAAAGUGGUUU